ACUUCGGUACAUCGGUGACAGGUGGUGCAUGGUUGUCGUCAGCUCGUGUCGUGAGAUGUUGGGUUAAGUCCCGCAACGAGCGCAACCCCUAUUGUUAGUUGCCAUCAUUCAGUUGGGCACUCUAGCGAGACUGCCGGUAAUAAACCGGAGGAAGGUGGGGAUGACGUCAAAUCGUCAUGCCCCUUAUGACCUGGGCUACACACGUGCUACAAUGGUUGGUACAACGAGUUGCGAGUCGGUGACGGCGAGCUAAUCUCUUAAAGCCAAUCUCAGUUCGGAUUGUAGGCUGCAACUCGCCUACAUGAAGUCGGAAUCGCUAGUAAUCGCGGAUCAGCACGCCGCGGUGAAUACGUUCCCGGGCCUU
RNAcentral lists this ribosomal RNA (364 nucleotides) under uncultured Streptococcus sp. RNAcentral's name for it is "bacterial SSU rRNA". It matches the Rfam family "Bacterial small subunit ribosomal RNA", at positions 1017 to 1382 of the family's 1533-position model. Lineage: Bacteria; Bacillati; Bacillota; Bacilli; Lactobacillales; Streptococcaceae. The record is from RNAcentral.